AAAUUUGAAAUCUGGCGCAAGCCCGAGUUGUAAUUUGUAGAGGAUGCUUCUGGCCAGCGGCCGUUCUAAGUUCCUUGGAACAGGACGUCAUAGAGGGUGAGAAUCCCGUAUGUGACCGGCGCGCAGCCUUUACGUAGCUCCUUCGACGAGUCGAGUUGUUUGGGAAUGCAGCUCUAAAUGGGAGGUAAAUUUCUUCUAAAGCUAAAUACCGGCCAGAGACCGAUAGCGCACAAGUAGAGUGAUCGAAAGAUGAAAAGCACUUUGGAAAGAGAGUUAAAAAGCACGUGAAAUUGUUGAAAGGGAAGCGCUUGCAACCAGACUUCGUAGCGAUGUUCCGCUGGUCUUUUGACCGGUCUACUCAUCGUCGCGAGGCCAACAUCGUCUGGGCCCGCUGGAUAAGACCUAAGGAAUGUAGCUUCCCUCGGGAAGUGUUAUAGCCUGUGGUGAUGCAGCGCGGCUCGGGCGAGGUCCGCGCUUCGGCAAGGAUGUUGGCGUAAUGGUUGUCAGCGGCCCGUCUUGAAACACGGACCAAGGAGUCUAACAUCUAUGCGAGUGUUCGGGUGUCAAACCCCUACGCGUAAUGAAAGUGAACGGAGGUGGGAAGCGCAAGCUGCACCAUCGACCGAUCCUGAUGUCCUCGGAUGGAUUUGAGUAAGAGCAUAGCUGUUGGGACCCGAAAGAUGGUGAACUAUGCCUGAAUAGGGUGAAGCCAGAGGAAACUCUGGU
Molecule: ribosomal RNA, 726 nt
Filed under: Paracercosporidium microsorum
Lineage: Eukaryota; Fungi; Ascomycota; Dothideomycetes; Mycosphaerellales; Mycosphaerellaceae
Description: partial large subunit ribosomal RNA
Rfam family: Eukaryotic large subunit ribosomal RNA
Source: RNAcentral